RNAcentral lists this ribosomal RNA (422 nucleotides) under Acanthamoeba sp. strain RK. RNAcentral's name for it is "SSU rRNA". It matches the Rfam family "Eukaryotic small subunit ribosomal RNA", at positions 762 to 1096 of the family's 1831-position model. The record is from RNAcentral. Lineage: Eukaryota; Discosea; Longamoebia; Acanthamoebidae.
AAAAUUAGAGUGUUCAAAGCAGGCAGAUCCAAUUUUCUGCCACCGAAUACAUUAGCAUGGGAUAAUGGAAUAGGACCCUGUCCUCCUAUUUUCAGUUGGUUUUGGCAGCGCGAGGACUAGGGUAAUGAUUAAUAGGGAUAGUUGGGGGCAUUAAUAUUUAAUUGUCAGAGGUGAAAUUCUUGGAUUUAUGAAAGAUUAACUUCUGCGAAAGCAUCUGCCAAGGAUGUUUUCAUUAAUCAAGAACGAAAGUUAGGGGAUCGAAGACGAUCAGAUACCGUCGUAGUCUUAACCAUAAACGAUGCCGACCAGCGAUUAGGAGACGUUGAAUACAAAACACCACCAUCGGUGCGGUUCGUCCUUGGCGUCUCGGUCCUUCACGGGGGGGGCGCGGGGUGGCCUUAAUCCCCGGUGGCACCGGUGAA